This 748-nucleotide long non-coding RNA is filed under the name Pan troglodytes (chimpanzee). Its description in RNAcentral is "lincRNA". Lineage: Eukaryota; Metazoa; Chordata; Mammalia; Primates; Hominidae. The record is from RNAcentral.
GAGGUUUGCUAGCAAACCAAACUCUAACAAAGAACACUGUUUAUUUUUUCUUUUCUUUUCUUGAGAUAGAUAUUUUUUAUUUUAAGUUCUGGGAUACAUGUGCAGAACGUGCAGGUUUGCUACAUAGAUACACAUGUGCCAUGGUGGUUUGCUGCACCUAUCAACCCAUCAUCUAGGUUUUAAGCCCUGUUUUGAUUUGAAUAUUAUUCAAUACAAGUGAAGAUUGAAAUGUGGACAUUUAUGCUAAGAACAGCUUCUGGAAUUAUAGAUUUGCCUUGUAUUCUUACCAAUUGUAAGAUGGAUAAACAAGCAGAAAUUCAAAAUGACAUAAUUAUAUUUCUUUGCAUCUGGAUUUUAUUCUGUUCCUGGUUCAAGUUUCAAGAUUGCCAAGAAUGACGAGUUGGACUUGGUCUAGUUACUUCCACAGCAGCAGGAGGAACAUGUGUGUGACUCAGGAUAACUGGGGAAGCCUUGGCUAGGCUUUCCUCAUGUCAACCUACCACUCAAAGGGAGAAAACCUCCUGAUCAGAGGUGCCCAGAACCCAGGAAAUCCAUAAUUUUUGAAUGCUGGCUGAGGUCUGUGACCUCUGACUGAAUGGUUUCCAAGCUCCGAAUUCCUAGGUGAUGUUUUCAUUUGUUCACAGUUGCUGAAGAAGGGAAAGGCUCUCUGAUUUACGUGUAAGCAAAACAAUCUAAACAGUAGGAUAAAAUCAUGUUGGAAUGGAGUUCUGUGUGGAUGCUCCUUUGA